This 1446-nucleotide long non-coding RNA is filed under the name Sus scrofa (pig). Its description in RNAcentral is "lncRNA (ENSSSCG00005022088.1)". The record is from RNAcentral. Lineage: Eukaryota; Metazoa; Chordata; Mammalia; Artiodactyla; Suidae.
AUGUUCUAGCUUCUCCCCCGCAACUGCCAAAUCCAGAGCUGUCUCCUGGGGCCCCUCCAUCCCACCACGUCUGCUCAGUCUAGGCCCUCACUGGCUUUCACCUGGGCCAUCUGAACAGCAUCCUUUCUGGUCUUCCCGCCUGCAGCCCUUUUCCUUCUGGGGCCAGUUUUCUCCCCAGAUGCUCCUGUGAUUGCCCCACAAACAGUUGAGAUAAUCGCCACGUCCACAAAGUCCUUCCCCCGCAGACUCCUGAGGUGCAGUCAGCCGCUGCUCUGGUUUCGGCCUCAUCACUUCAUCUCUCCCCCGACUGUCCUGUCCCGUGGACCCCAGGCCUUAACUGUGCCGAGGAGUCAUGAACCCCAAACAUCUUGGAGGCUUUCACAAUGUCAUUUCCUUGGCUCGGGAUGCUGUUUCGCCCCCUCCUUUGAUAGUCAGGUGUCUCCUUCAAGGCUCAUUCAAGCCUCUCCCAGAAGUCCAGGCAGGGAGCCUCACUAGGGGUGGGCUGAGUCCACCUGCGCACUAGCCCAGCCCACGCCUCCUUUCUGCUUCUCCCCAGCAACCGACUUGAGGUGAGGCGCAAAGUAGAUGUUCGCUAAAAAUCUAAAUGCAGGAGGUCCCGUCAUGGCUCAGCGGUAAUGAACCUGACUAGCAUUCUCUGAGGACGAGGGGUCGGUCCCUGGCCUCGCUCAGUGGGUUAAGGAUCCAGCGUUGCUGUGAGCUGUGGUGUAGGUCGCAGACACGGCUUGGAUCUGGUGUUGCUGUGGCUGUGGCGUAGGCCAGCAGCUCCAGAUCUGAUGGGAUCUCUAGCCUGGGAAAAAAAAAGAAAAAAAAAAUCUGAAUGCAAAGAUGAAGGAAUGAAUGGCCCAUUCCGACACACCUUUGCCCAGGCAUAAAGGCAAAAUAAGGGAUUGGUGGCGGGGUGGGGGAUGCUGCCCAUGGCAUGUUGAAGUUUCCGGUGCAGGGAUCGAACUUGCACCACAGCACUAACCAGAGCCACAGUAGUAGAUCCAUAACCCACUGAGCCACCAGGGAACUCCAAGCCAGGGAUUUUUUCUUUUUUUUCCUUUUUUUUUAGGGCCAUGUCUGUGGCAUAUGGAAGUUCCCAGGCUAGGGAUCAAAAUGAAGUUGCAGCUUUCAGCCUACGCCAUAGCCACAGCAACACCAGAUCCUUAAUCCACUGAGCAAUGCCAGGGAUCCAACCCACAUCCUCACAGACACUAUGUCGGGUUCUUAACCCUUUGAGCCACAAUAGGAACUCCAAGACAGGGAUUUUUGUAAUUGAAAUAUAAUUAAUGUACAGUAUUAUGUAAGUUAUGGGUGUACACUAUAGUGAUUCACAAUUUUGUUGUUGUUGUUGUCUAGGGCCGCACCUGCAGCAUAUGAAAGUUCCAGGCUAGGGGUCCAAUUGGACCUGUAGCCACUGGCCUACACCACAGCCACAGCAAC